AGAGUAGCCCUAGGCUCUCCAACCCACUGUGAACAUACCUACGUUCCCCCGGCGGGCUCAGCGCGCGGUGCCUCCGGGCGCCGGGCGUCCGCCGAGGGCCCCCAAACUCGAAUUUAUUACGUGUAUAUCUGAGGGGCGAAAGCCUGUAAAAAUGAAUCAAAACUUUCAACAACGGAUCUCUUGGCUCU
RNAcentral lists this unclassified non-coding RNA (188 nucleotides) under rhizosphere metagenome. Its description in RNAcentral is "partial ribosomal RNA internal transcribed spacer region". The record is from RNAcentral.